Long non-coding RNA from Onychostoma macrolepis, 1980 nucleotides. RefSeq lists it as uncharacterized. NCBI's taxonomy places the organism in Eukaryota, Metazoa, Chordata, Actinopteri, Cypriniformes, Cyprinidae. The transcript is spliced from 3 exons. The record is from RefSeq and is a predicted model, not a curated record.
UUCACUUUCACUUUCACUAACAGUCUGAUCAGAUGAGAGUUUAGAAGACUGACUGUCAUUCCUCUCGUUCUGCUAGAAGUGAAAGAGAUUUGAGAUCUGCUGUUCAACACAGUUCAGAGGAAGCAGAAAGGUCUACACGUAUAAUUUGAGCAGUGAGUCAGUGAAGGACGAUGGCAUCUGUUGAGCAGCAUUGUGACACACCAGAUGAGCCGGAAGCAAAAAAACGGAAAUACGAGCAAGGUAAUUGUAACGGGGUGAACAAGACGUGAGACGCACAGAUCCAUGUGCAAAGCUUUUAUUCAGAGACGUGGUCAUAAACACAGACAGGGUCGAACAACAGCAAUCAAGUACGGCAUGGGCAAGACACAGAGUAAUCCUAGGGCAAGCGUGGGUCUUUGAUCGGCGAAUGAUAUUCAGAGGGCUUGAGAAGAGGAGUAGUCCGUUAACAUGAGCAAUAAUCCAAACGAAGUAUAAACAGAGACAAGGGUUAAUACAAGAUACACAGGAAACGAGGCUAUAAACAAAAUAAACUAAACUUAGACUUAUAAAACACAGAAGGGCUCCGUAAUGUAGCUAUCACUGGGAGAGUGAUAAACGCUAGACAAUACUGGAACUAAGCAAACACAGAAUGGCUCAGUAAAGCCGCUAUCACUAGGAGAGUGCUAAACGCAGAACAAUACUCAGCGAUCUGUGAAAGGAAGUCCAUGGCUUAUGAAGAGUGUCUAAAGGGAUUCAGCUGUGUAUGUGCAAUCAGUGCAAUGGAUGAUGGGAAAUGCAGUCCAAUGUGAUGUGUGGUGUAAGAGUCAAUAUGAUGGAGAGGGCGACCUCUUGUGGCAGUUGGACAAAAGACCACGAACCGGAUUCGUGACAGUAAUGAAGAACAGAAUACCAGCAAUGUUAAAAUUCUGUAAUGUACUUAAAGUGGUCUAUUGUCACUCACUAAUUUUGUGCUUAAAGGGUUACUCCACCUCAAAAUGAAAAUUGUGUCAUUAAUCACUUACCCCCAUGUUGUUCCAAACCAGUAAAAGCUUAGUUCGUCUUCGGGAACACAAUUUAAAUGGGUCAUCGGAUGCCCAUUUUCCACAAAUUGAUAUGAUUCAUUAGGGUCUUAAUGAAAAGUCUAUAACAUACUUUGGUUAAAAUUUCUCAACGGUAGUGUAAAAAACAUCUUCUUUACCCUGUCAAAAUCAGCUCUGUUUUCAGCAAGCCGUUAUUUAGUCCAUGUUGCUUUAAAUGCUAAUGAGCUCUGCUGACCCCGCCCCUCUCUUCCGUGGGGUGACCAGAGCCAUAGAGAGAGAGUUGGGACAACUCCGUUGACUCCAAUGGACCGUUUUUUUACAACAAUGGUGGAUCAUGGAGCCGCUCAAUAGUUCCCGGAAGUUAGCGCUCAUACUAUCAGCGCCAUAGAGAUGCAGAUGAAGAGACCGCUGUGAUGAACUUUUAAAUGAACAACCACCUGAAGACUCCCUGUAAUGAGAAAUCACCCUCACAAUGAGUCUCUUCACUGGGUUUGGCGAGUCUUUCCCUGUUCUUUGUGAAAAAGAGCCAGUUCCCAAGUAUGAUUACAUCACAUUUUGUUGGUGUAAUCUAUAGAUUGCUCCUGCUGACUACAUCCAGCCUCUCAUGAAGACUUCAGAUGACCAGCAGCUGUGAAGAGAUGACGCCAGCCCUUGAGAGGACUUCAGAUGAAGCUGACUCUAAAUAAACAUACAAAACUGAUCAAUUUUCCUUGCAUUGUAAUCAACAUGAUCAAAUCACGUAACCAUUGCUUUAAUUUAUUCAUUGUUUCUGAACUCAUGACAUUACUUAACUGCAUGAUUUGUAUAGCCUAAUUUUAGAACAUUUCUGCCAUAUGAGCAUUACUUUGACACAGUUACACCUGUUAACAGAACUCUUAUUGUAAUGUAGAAACAUUAAUUUUCUAUAAAACUGCUUUGAAACAAUGUUUGUAAUAAAAAGUGCUAUACAAAUAAAUGUGAA